This is a long non-coding RNA of Lontra canadensis (Northern American river otter), 196 nucleotides long. RefSeq lists it as uncharacterized. The record is from RefSeq and is a predicted model, not a curated record. Lineage: Eukaryota; Metazoa; Chordata; Mammalia; Carnivora; Mustelidae. The transcript is spliced from 3 exons.
GGAAGGGUAGAAGGUCUCGGGCAGGAAGAGGCGCCAGGAGGAGGGUCCAGUGAUACAACACAGGCCCGGAGAGCUGGCGAGCCUUGAGGAAAACAUUAGUUCAGUUCCAUGUCAUGUGGAUAUGAGGCAGAGGAGGAAGAGGACACAGAAGAUGAUGCAGGUGACCCCGAUGUGGAUGCCGAUGACAAUGCCUGUG